GCCCCCAUAGCUCAGCUGGAUAGAGCGUCCCCCUCCUAAGGGGAAGGUCUCAGGUUCGAAUCCUGAUGGGGGUGCCA
This 77-nucleotide transfer RNA is filed under the name Halomonas sp. THAF5a. RNAcentral describes it as "tRNA-Arg". It matches the Rfam family "tRNA". Rfam says of the family: Transfer RNA (tRNA) molecules are approximately 80 nucleotides in length. Their secondary structure includes four short double-helical elements and three loops (D, anti-codon, and T loops). Further hydrogen bonds mediate the characteristic L-shaped molecular structure. tRNAs have two regions of fundamental functional importance: the anti-codon, which is responsible for specific mRNA codon recognition, and the 3' end, to which the tRNAs corresponding amino acid is attached (by aminoacyl-tRNA synthetases). tRNAs cope with the degeneracy of the genetic code in two manners: having more than one tRNA (with a specific anti-codon) for a particular amino acid; and 'wobble' base-pairing, i.e. permitting non-standard base-pairing at the 3rd anti-codon position. The record is from RNAcentral. Lineage: Bacteria; Pseudomonadati; Pseudomonadota; Gammaproteobacteria; Oceanospirillales; Halomonadaceae.